AUGGUAGGAGUUGAUCGUUCCGAUUGUUUUUUGCAUCUGAUUGAAAGAGUGGUUGUUCGUCUUAAAGGGUGGAAGGAGAAGAUUUUAUCUAUGGGAGGGAAAUAAAUUUUAUUGAAAGCGGUGAUUCAAUCCAUUCCUGUUUUUGCCAUGGGGGUUUUUAGAAUCUUGAAGAAAAUUUGCAAAGAGAUAACUGAUGCCAUGGCUGCGUUUUGGUGGGGGGAUGAUGAUAAUGGUAAAUGGAUGCAUUGGUUUGCAUGGUGGCGUAUGUGUAUCUCGAAG
Molecule: ribosomal RNA, 279 nt
Filed under: Triticum aestivum (bread wheat)
Lineage: Eukaryota; Viridiplantae; Streptophyta; Magnoliopsida; Poales; Poaceae
Description: partial small subunit ribosomal RNA
Source: RNAcentral